RNAcentral lists this ribosomal RNA (355 nucleotides) under Scammarctus batei. RNAcentral describes it as "partial 12S ribosomal RNA". The record is from RNAcentral. Lineage: Eukaryota; Metazoa; Arthropoda; Malacostraca; Decapoda; Scyllaridae.
GAGUAGUAUAAUUAAUUAGUUUGAAAUUCAAAGAGUUUGGCGGUAUUUUAGUCUAGUUAGAGGAACCUGUUUUGUAAACGAUAGGCCACGUAAUAUCUUUCUUGCUCUGGUUAAAGCUAGUAUACCGUCAUUGUCAGAUAAUUUUAUUUCUUAAAGAAAUUGUUGUAAUUAAGUAAUCUUAAUCAUAUUAGAUCAUGGUGCUGCUUAUGGGGGAGUAUAAAUGGGUUACAUUGUUUUUAAUUUAUUACGGAUAUUAUGAAUGAAGUGUCAUAUUGAAGGUGGAUUUAAUAGUAAUGUGAGUUUAAUAUGUUUAUAUGAGAUUASCUCUAAGAUAUGUACAUAUCGCCCGUCACUA